This 843-nucleotide ribosomal RNA is filed under the name uncultured prokaryote. RNAcentral describes it as "bacterial SSU rRNA". It matches the Rfam family "Bacterial small subunit ribosomal RNA", at positions 625 to 1482 of the family's 1533-position model. The record is from RNAcentral.
CAUUGAAACUGGCGAACUUGAGUACAGUAGAGGUAGGCGGAAUUCGUGGUGUAGNNNNGAAAUGCUUAGNUAUNNNGAAGAACUCCGAUUGCGAAGGCAGCUUGCUGGACUGUAACUGACGCUGAGGCACGAAAGCGUGGGGAUCAAACAGGAUUAGAUACCCUGGUAGNCCACGCCGUAAACGAUGAAUGCUAGCUGUUAGCGAUAUACUGUUAGCGGCACAGAGAAAUCGUUAAGCAUUCCACCUGGGGAGUACGCCGGCAACGGUGAAACUCAAAGGAAUUGACGGGGGCCCGCACAAGCGGAGGAACAUGUGGUUUAAUUCGAUGAUACGCGAGGAACCUUACCUGGGCUUAAAUUGCAGUGGAAUAACGUGGAAACAUGUUAGCCUUCGGGCCGCUGUGAAGGUGCUGCAUGGUUGUCGUCAGCUCGUGCCGUGAGGUGUCGGCUUAAGUGCCAUAACGAGCGCAACCCUCAUCGAUAGUUACUAACAGGUUAAGCUGAGGACUCUAUCGAGACUGCCGACGUAAGUCGUGAGGAAGGUGGGGAUGACGUCAAAUCAGCACGGCCCUUACGUCCAGGGCUACACACGUGUUACAAUGGGGGGUACAAAGGGCAGCUACCUGGCGACAGGAUGCUAAUCUCAAAAACCUCUCUCAGUUCGGAUUGGAGUCUGCAACUCGACUCCAUGAAGCUGGAUUCGCUAGUAAUCGCGCAUCAGCCAUGGCGCGGUGAAUACGUUCCCGGGCCUUGUACACACCGCCCGUCAAGCCAUGGAAGCUGGGGGUACCUGAAGUAUGCAGCCGCAAGGAGCGUCCUAGGGUAAAACCGGUAACUGGGGCU